AAGUUGUGAUGUGGGCACUUUCUCAAUAAAUCUUUGAAUCUCUCCCAAGCUUCGUAGAAACUGUCUUGAUCAUGGUGGACAAAAGUCAUUAUCUCAUUGCGCAGUUU
This is a non-coding RNA of Jatropha curcas, 107 nucleotides long. Lineage: Eukaryota; Viridiplantae; Streptophyta; Magnoliopsida; Malpighiales; Euphorbiaceae. The record is from Rfam.